GGCGUCUCAUGGGGGUGCCCGGCCAUUCCGGAUCGGGCUGAGAGGCAGCCUGCCAACUCCUUGAACCUGAUCCGGCUGAUACCGGCGGAGGGACUUGAGAUCAUGACACUU
Molecule: non-coding RNA, 111 nt
Filed under: Labrenzia sp.
Lineage: Bacteria; Pseudomonadati; Pseudomonadota; Alphaproteobacteria; Hyphomicrobiales; Stappiaceae
Description: TPP sequence
Rfam family: TPP riboswitch aptamer (THI element)
About the family: Vitamin B(1) in its active form thiamin pyrophosphate (TPP) is an essential coenzyme that is synthesised by coupling of pyrimidine and thiazole moieties in bacteria.
Source: RNAcentral